This 2291-nucleotide long non-coding RNA is filed under the name Homo sapiens (human). RNAcentral's name for it is "non-protein coding lnc-CRYM-6:1". The record is from RNAcentral. Lineage: Eukaryota; Metazoa; Chordata; Mammalia; Primates; Hominidae.
GGAUUUCAGGCACGUAUCACCACGCCCAGCUAAUUUUUGUAUUUUUAGUAAAGACAGGGUUUCACCAUGUUGGUCAGGCUGGUCUCGAACUCCUGACCUUGUGAUGUGUCUGCCUCAGCCUCCCAAACUGCUGGGAUUACAGGUGUGAGCCACCACGCCCGGCCAAUGUUCUGUAUUAUUAUCUUCAAUAAAAGGCAAGGGUGGCAGAAUGGAUUUUUUAAAAAUGAUUCAAAUAUACAAACUGGUUGAAAGUGAAAGGAUGGAAAAAGAUACUCCAUGAAAAUAACAAAAAGAGAUCAGGGUGGUUAUAUGAAUAUCAGACAAAAUAGACUUUAAGUAAAAAUAUUGUCAGAAAAUUUCAAUAACUAUAAAAAAUCAGAAUGCGCUAACAGUUACAGAAGAGGAGACACACAUGACUCAUAUUAGUAACACACAGCUUCAUUAACAAUUGGGAAAUGUAGAUUUAAAUUGCUAUGCGAUAACAUUUCAUAUCCCUAAUUUGGCACAAUUAAAAGCUUGGCAAUUCUAAAUAUUGGCAAGAAUAUGGAGCAUGAGGAAUUCUCAUCUCCUUCUAGUGAGGCUGUAAAUUCAUAAAACACUUUGCAUGUGAGCCCUCAAUGGGAAAAGAAAUGAUUUUUCUUGGUCUUUGUAUAUUAGACAUGGUACAAGUUCAGAUAUCCACAUUUUUCUUUUUUUUUUUUUUGAGACGGACUCUUACUCUGUUGCCCAGGCUGGAGUGCAGUGGCACGAUCUCGGGUCACUGCAACCUCCACCUCCCAGGUUCAGGUGACUCUCCUGCCUCAGCCUCCUGAGUAACUGGGAUUACAGGUGCCCACCACCACACAUGGCUAAUUUUUGUAUUUUCAAUAGAGACGGAGUUUCACCAUGCUGGCCAGGUUGGUAUCGAAGUCCUGACCUCAAGUGAUCCACCCACCUCAGCCUCCCAAAGUGCUGGGAUUACAAGUGUGAGCCACCAUGCCCAGUCACAGAUAUCCAAAAAUGUUAACAAAUGAAUGAAUGUAUAGCUGCAUCCACUGACUUGACUUCCUAUUCAUUCCCAUCUUCAAAUCCUUCACAAACCUACCUUGAUUGAAGCAUAGCAUUUCCAGGCCUAUCUCAACCUGCAAUAUCUUUUUUUUUUUUUUUUUUUUUUUGAUGUUGUCUCGCUCUGUCCCCCAGGCUGGAGUGCAGUGGCGUGAUCUCGGCUCACUGCAAGCUCCGCCUCCCGGGUUCACGCCAUUCUCCUGCCUCAGCCUCCCGAGUAGCUGGGACUACAGGCGCCCGCCACCAUGCCUGGCUAAUUUUUUUUGUAUUUUUAGUAGAGACGAGGUUUCACCAUGUUAGCCAGGAUGGUCUCGAUUUCCUGACCUCGUGAUCUGCCCGCCUCGGCCUCCCAAAGUGCUGGGAUUACAGGCAUGAGCCACCGCGCCCGGCCUCGACCUGGAAUAUCUUAAUCCAUUUUUUUUUUUUUAAAUGUGUACACUAUGCUUUGUUAAUUUUCAUUGUUCUCUGCAUGUCUUCUUAUGGUGGUUCAUUUUAUGUGCCAACUUGACUCUCCAUGGAGUAUACAGAUUAAACAUUAUUUCUGGGUGUGUCUGUGAGGAGGUUGCCAAAUGAGAUAAGCAUUUGAAUCAGUGGACUCAGUAAAGCAGAUGGUCCUCCCCAAUGUGGGCAGGCAUCAUCCAAUCUGUUGAGGGCCUGAAAAGAACAAAAGGGUGGAGGAAGGGGGAAUUUGCUCUCAUUUCUUCCUUGUUGCCUUCUUGACUGGGACAUUAGUCUGUUCCAGCCUUUGAACUGGGAUUUACACCACCACCUCCCCUGGUUCUCAGGCCUUCAGAGUCAGACUGGAAUUAUACCACUGGUUUUCCUGGGUCCCCAGUUGUACUCUGCAAAUCAUGUGACCCUGACUAAUGUAUUUUAUAAACUACUUUUUGUGCAUAUAAUAUUCAUGUCCCCAAGGUCAAUAUUAGCUCUGUGGGGCAGACAGUAUAUUUCAGAUACAUAGGCUGGGCACGGUGGCUCAUGCCUGUAAUCCCAGCACUUUGUGGGGCUGAGACAGGUGGAUCACCUGAGGUCAGGAGUUCAAGACCAGCCUGGCCAACAUGGUGAAACCCCGUCUCUACUAAAAAUACAAAAAUUAGCCGGGCAUGGUGCCAGGCGCCUGUAGUCCCAGCUACUCGGGAGGAUGAGGCAGGAGAAUCGCUUGAACCCGGGAGGUGGAGGUGGCAGUGAGCCGAGAUUGAGCCACUGCACUCCAGCCUGGGCCACAGAGUGAGACUCUGUCUCAAAAC